AUUGAACGCUGGCGGCAUGCCUAACACAUGCAAGUCGAACGAGUAGCGGACGGGUGGGUAAUUUCUGGGAAACUGCCCGAUCUAGCGAGCUAACUACUGGAACCGGUAGCAAAUACCGCAUACCAUCGUAUUUGGCCAGAUGGAAUUAUCUAGUGGGUGUGGUAACGGCUCACCUAGGCGACGAUCCCUAGCUGGUCUGAGAGGAUGACCGGCCACACGGGAACUGAGACACGGCCCAGACUCCUACGGGAGGCAGAAGUGGGGAAUAUUCCGCAAUGGGCGCAAGUCUGACGCAGCAACGCCGCGUGGAUGAAGAAGGUUUUCGGGUCGUAAAGCACUGUCGGCGGGGAAGCGUUACUCGCAGAAGAAGCAACGGCUAACUACGUGCCAGCAGCCGCGGUAAUAC
This 406-nucleotide ribosomal RNA is filed under the name uncultured bacterium. RNAcentral describes it as "partial 16S ribosomal RNA". It matches the Rfam family "Bacterial small subunit ribosomal RNA", at positions 30 to 526 of the family's 1533-position model. The record is from RNAcentral.